RNAcentral lists this ribosomal RNA (468 nucleotides) under uncultured bacterium. Its description in RNAcentral is "partial 16S ribosomal RNA". It matches the Rfam family "Bacterial small subunit ribosomal RNA", at positions 28 to 507 of the family's 1533-position model. The record is from RNAcentral.
GACGAACGCUGGCGGCGUGCUUAACACAUGCAAGUCGAACGGAAAGGCCCUGCUUUUGUGGGGUGCUCGAGUGGCGAACGGGUGAGUAACACGUGAGUAACCUGCCCUUGACUUUGGGAUAACUUCAGGAAACUGGGGCUAAUACCGGAUAGGAGCUCCUGCUGCAUGGUGGGGGUUGGAAAGUUUCGGCGGUUGGGGAUGUGCUAGCGGCUUAUCAGCUUGUUGGUGGGGUAGUGGCUUACCAAGGCUUUGACGGGUAGCCGGCCUGAGAGGUUGACCGGCCACAGUGGGACAGAGAUACGGCCCAGACUCCUACGGGAGGCAGCAGUGGGGAAUAUUACACAAUGGGCGGAAGCCUGAUGCAGCAACGCCGCGUGCGGGAUGACGGCCUUCGGGUUGUAAACCGCUUUCGCCUGUGACGAAGCGUGAGUGACGGUAAUGGGUAAAGAAGCACCGGCUAACUACGUG